RNAcentral lists this ribosomal RNA (386 nucleotides) under uncultured Streptococcus sp. RNAcentral describes it as "bacterial SSU rRNA". It matches the Rfam family "Bacterial small subunit ribosomal RNA", at positions 995 to 1382 of the family's 1533-position model. The record is from RNAcentral. Lineage: Bacteria; Bacillati; Bacillota; Bacilli; Lactobacillales; Streptococcaceae.
GCUAUUUCUAGAGAUGAAAGUUACUUCGGUACAUCGGUGACAGGUGGUGCAUGGUUGUCGUCAGCUCGUGUCGUGAGGUGUUGGGUUAAGUCCCGCAACGAGCGCAACCCCUAUUGUUAGUUGCCAUCAUUCAGUUGGGCACUCUAGCGAGACUGCCGGUAAUAAACCGGAGGAAGGUGGGGAUGACGUCAAAUCAUCAUGCCCCUUAUGACCUGGGCUACACACGUGCUACAAUGGUUGGUACAACGAGUUGCGAGUCGGUGACGGCGAGCUAAUCUCUUAAAGCCAAUCUCAGUUCGGAUUGUAGGCUGCAACUCGCCUACAUGAAGUCGGAAUCGCUAGUAAUCGCGGAUCAGCACGCCGCGGUGAAUACGUUCCCGGGCCUU